UACGAAGGUCCCAAGCGUUGUUCGGAAUCACGGGGCGUAAAGGGAGCGUAGGCGGCGUGGUAAGUCAGAUGUGAAAUCCCGGGGCUCAACCCCGGAACUGCAUCCGAUACUGCCAUGCUAGAGGAUUGGAGAGGUAGCUGGAAUUCUUGGUGUAGCAGUGAAAUGCGUAGAGAUCAAGAGGAACACUCGUGGCGAAAGCGAGCUACUGGACAAUUCCUGACGCUGAGGCUCGAAGGCCAGGGUAGCGAAAGGG
This 253-nucleotide ribosomal RNA is filed under the name uncultured bacterium. RNAcentral's name for it is "partial 16S ribosomal RNA". It matches the Rfam family "Bacterial small subunit ribosomal RNA", at positions 524 to 776 of the family's 1533-position model. The record is from RNAcentral.